RNAcentral lists this small nucleolar RNA (91 nucleotides) under Eremothecium cymbalariae DBVPG#7215. Lineage: Eukaryota; Fungi; Ascomycota; Saccharomycetes; Saccharomycetales; Saccharomycetaceae. The record is from RNAcentral.
AAUUAUGAUGAUACCUUGCAAACAACAACAAUGAAUUUCUUCAACCGAAAAUUGCAUGUGGAUGCUAUUUGACAGCUUUUUAACCCUGAAU